Molecule: ribosomal RNA, 253 nt
Filed under: uncultured bacterium
Lineage: Bacteria
Description: partial 16S ribosomal RNA
Rfam family: Bacterial small subunit ribosomal RNA
Source: RNAcentral
UACAUGGGGUGCAAACGUUGCUCGGAAUUAUUGGGCGUAAAGCGCACGUAGGUGGCUUGUUAUGUCGGGUGUGAAAUCCCGGGGCUCAACCCCGGGACUGCAUUCGAUACUGUCAGGCUAGAGGUAGGUAGGGGAGAUCGGAAUUCCUGGUGUAGCGGUGAAAUGCGCAGAUAUCAGGAGGAACACCGGUGGCGAAGGCGGAUCUCUGGGCCUUACCUGACGCUCAGGCGCGAAAGCUAGGGGAGCGAACAGG